ACGAACGCUGGCGGCGUGCUUAACACAUGCAAGUCGAACGGAAAGGCCCUGCUUUUGUGGGGUGCUCGAGUGGCGAACGGGUGAGUAACACGUGAGUAACCUGCCCUUGACUUUGGGAUAACUUCAGGAAACUGGGGCUAAUACCGGAUAGGAGCUCCUGCUGCAUGGUGGGGGUUGGAAAGUUUCGGCGGUUGGGGAUGGACUCGCGGCUUAUCAGCUUGUUGGUGGGGUAGUGGCUUACCAAGGCUUUGACGGGUAGCCGGCCUGAGAGGGUGACCGGCCACAUUGGGACUGAGAUACGGCCCAGACUCCUACGGGAGGCAGCAGUGGGGAAUAUUGCACAAUGGGCGGAAGCCUGAUGCAGCAACGCCGCGUGGGGGAUGACGGCCUUCGGGUUGUAAACCGCUUUCGCCUGUGACGAAGCGUGAGUGACGGUAAUGGGUAAAGAAGCACCGGCUAACUACGUG
This 467-nucleotide ribosomal RNA is filed under the name uncultured bacterium. RNAcentral's name for it is "partial 16S ribosomal RNA". It matches the Rfam family "Bacterial small subunit ribosomal RNA", at positions 29 to 507 of the family's 1533-position model. The record is from RNAcentral.